RNAcentral lists this small RNA (137 nucleotides) under Klebsiella quasipneumoniae. RNAcentral describes it as "RtT sRNA". It matches the Rfam family "RtT RNA". From Rfam's summary of the family: This family represents a bacterial cis-regulatory element known as RtT RNA. Lineage: Bacteria; Pseudomonadati; Pseudomonadota; Gammaproteobacteria; Enterobacterales; Enterobacteriaceae. The record is from RNAcentral.
AUAUUCUCCGCUGGGGGGGGGAUGAGAACCCCCGACCGGGGUUCGACAACUGGCGCAGCCAGUUGGACAGACCGCGAGCCCGCGAGCGGGCUGCCCCGCAGGGGCGAGCGAAGCGAGUCAAUCCCCCCUCACCGCCA